This 465-nucleotide ribosomal RNA is filed under the name uncultured bacterium. RNAcentral describes it as "partial 16S ribosomal RNA". It matches the Rfam family "Bacterial small subunit ribosomal RNA", at positions 28 to 507 of the family's 1533-position model. The record is from RNAcentral.
GACGAACGCUGGCGGCGUGCUUAACACAUGCCAGUCGAACGGAAAGGCCCUGCUUGCAGGGUACUCGAGUGGCGAACGGGUGAGUAACACGUGGGUGAUCUGCCCUGCACUUCGGGAUAAGCCUGGGAAACUGGGUCUAAUACCGGAUAGGAGCCAUUUUUAGGGUGAUGGUUGGAAAGUUUUUUCGGUGUAGGAUGAGCUCGCGGCCUAUCAGCUUGUUGGUGGGGUAAUGGCCUACCAAGGCGGCGACGGGUAGCCGGCCUGAGAGGGUGGACGGCCACAUUGGGACUGAGAUACGGCCCAGACUCCUACGGGAGGCAGCAGUGGGGAAUAUUGCACAAUGGGCGCAAGCCUGAUGCAGCGACGCCGCGUGGGGGAUGACGGCCUUCGGGUUGUAAACUCCUUUCGCUAGGGACGAAGCUUUUUGUGACGGUACCUAGAUAAGAAGCACCGGCUAACUACGUG